Molecule: non-coding RNA, 687 nt
Organism: Podarcis muralis (Common wall lizard)
Lineage: Eukaryota; Metazoa; Chordata; Lepidosauria; Squamata; Lacertidae
Source: RefSeq, a predicted model, not a curated record
GUACAGGCUUGAAAGUUAAGGUCCGACUGUAUUUGAAAACUAGCGUGCAGCAGGAUUUUGUUUGGCGUCCAAGACUGCAAUCCUCCGUGGGGCUCUCCUUCCUGUCUCCUGAGCCCCAAGAUCUUCUUGCAGUGUUGCAGCACCAGGGAGAGAAGAGAUGCUGUGGCAAGAACAAGCUCUGCAGGAAUGUUCAGCUAUCAUAGGUCAGAUAUAAUGAAGAGGCAAUGUAAUCACAGGUAUUGACGUUUUGACAACCCUGCAUUAAUAAAUUCAGAUGCAUUUGCGCUGAGAGAGGUCAGAUUCCCAUUGAUGCCCUAGACUCUCAUAUGAACCUGGAAGAAGACACUAUGAUCAUCGAUAAAAGAAAGUGUCACUUUGAAGAAAUGGCCAACUUCAGAAAGAUGGUUGUGAAAGUGAAGAACUCAUUUCUGCAACAAUGGACAUACUUUGGAUUAUUUUUCAUGGGUGAUGUGACAACUGCAGUGUAAGUGGCUUGAGGGUGUCAAACUGUUUGCUGGAUUUGAUUUAUUAUUCCUGCCCAUAUUCUGUUCUUCCUUGGAGAAACAGGGACAGGGAAGUGUGCAGAGGAGGCCCACAUUUUAUCCAUACAACAACUUUAUGGGAUAUGUUAGGCUAAGACAGGGAUAUGGAACCUGUGGCCCUCCAGAUCUUCUUGGGCUCCAAUUC